This 218-nucleotide unclassified non-coding RNA is filed under the name soil metagenome. RNAcentral's name for it is "partial contains 5.8S ribosomal RNA, internal transcribed spacer 2, and large subunit ribosomal RNA". The record is from RNAcentral.
AACCUUAUGGACCUGCGGGCGUAUACCUGCGGAGGGAUCAUUACAAGUGACCCCGGUCUAACCACCGGGAUGUUCAUAACCCUUUGUUGUCCGACUCUGUUGCCUCCGGGGCGACCCUGCCUUCGGGCGGGGGCUCCGGGUGGACACUUCAAACUCUUGCGUAACUUUGCAGUCUGAGUAAACUUAAUUAAUAAAUUAAAACUUUCAACAACGGAUCU